Molecule: unclassified non-coding RNA, 405 nt
Filed under: soil metagenome
Description: partial contains 5.8S ribosomal RNA, internal transcribed spacer 2, and large subunit ribosomal RNA
Rfam family: 5.8S ribosomal RNA (bases 1-121)
Source: RNAcentral
GAUGAAGAACGUAGCGAAAUGCGAUAAGUAAUGUGAAUUGCAGAAUUCAGUGAAUCAUCGAAUCUUUGAACGCACCUUGCGCCCUUUGGCUAUUCCAGAGGGCAUGCCUGUUUGAGUAUCAUGAACACCUCAACUCUCAUGGUUCUGCCAUGAUGAGCUUGGACUUUGGAGGUCUUGCUGGCCCCUGUGGUCGGCUCCUCUCAAAUGGAUCAGCUUGCCAGUGUUUGGUGGCAUCACAGGUGUGAUAACUAUCUACGCUUGUGGGUUUCCACCAGGUAACCUUCAGUGAUGGAGGUUCGCUGGAGCUCAUAAACGUCUCUCCUCAGCGAGGACAGCUUCUUGAACGUUUGAUCUCAAAUCAGGUAGGGCUACCCGCUGAACUUAAGCAUAUCAAUAAGCGGAGGA